RNAcentral lists this transfer RNA (76 nucleotides) under Streptomyces noursei. RNAcentral describes it as "tRNA-Leu". It matches the Rfam family "tRNA". From Rfam's summary of the family: Transfer RNA (tRNA) molecules are approximately 80 nucleotides in length. Their secondary structure includes four short double-helical elements and three loops (D, anti-codon, and T loops). RNAcentral also lists the same sequence under 1 other name. The record is from RNAcentral. Lineage: Bacteria; Bacillati; Actinomycetota; Actinomycetes; Kitasatosporales; Streptomycetaceae.
GGGGCAUUAGCUCAGCCGGUGAGAGCAGGGAUCCAGAAUCCUCCGGUCGCGGAUUCGAAUCCCGCAUGCCCCGCCA